AAAUGUGGAAUUGCUUGUGUUUUACUUCCUACUUCCUAUGGUGAUUUGCUCAAAAUUGAUUUGAAGAAGCAUCGUCUGGAUGUUACUAGCAUAAAUGGUGCAAGAGUAGCCAGACUACGCAAGAUAGAUAUGGAAAGCAUGUGAAUGACUUAGAAAAGAAAUUGGGUGACUCAGAUUUGGAUAAAGUCACCUUAAAGAAACACUUGAAUGCCCAAUACUAUGGAGAAAUUGGUAUUGGUUCACUUCCUAUGAAAUUCAAAAUUAUCUUUAAUACAGGGAGUUCUAACCUCUGUGUUUCGCCGUUAAGAUACUAUUUUUCUGUAAGUUAUGCUCUUUAUUAUAUUAAGUUAUUUACCCCUUCACUGGUUUAUCAAAAUUUCUUUCUCACAUUUGAGAUGCUCACAGAUUUCAUAUUGGUUUCGCUUCAAGUACAAAGCGGUCGAGUCCAGCACAUAUACAAAAAAUGCUGAUCAUAGUGUUCCUUUGUACUAAGCAUCUUUGUUUCAUUUAAUGUUUCUUCUGAUUGUGUUUUUUCAGUUUUUUAUAAUCAAGGAAACCUUGGGCAAUUCGUUAUGGAACUGAAAGAGUCUCUGGCUGUUUCAAUCAACACAAUAUUAAAUUGGUGAUCUUGUAGUCAAAGAUCUGGUGAAUUCUUACUUAACAACUGGUUUUUCAUAGAGCCUCUGUGGUACAAUGAAUGAAAUAAUAAAGUUAUUGGCUUAUCCCCCACUAUACAGAAGUAUACAGUUCAUUUUCUCACGAGAAUAGAAUUUUACUAAUUUGUAUGUGCGAUAAUUAUAAAUUCAUCUUUUAGUUGUAUUUAUAUCACAAAUUACUGCUUAAUUGGAAGAACUUGGAUAAUCUCUUGAUCCUUUUAAAGAUAUGAAAUACAACUUCACUUGCACCUGGAGAGUGUUCGAAGAUUGAUUUGAGGAGAAAGGUUUUGUUAUAGCCAACAUGAUGGAUCCAAAAGAUAAAGUGAUUCAUAUCGAGACUUCAUCUACAAAUUAUGUCAAGCAUUGCAGUGUGGUUUUCAGGCUCCAGACACUUUGUCCCUUAAAUGCAGUUCUUUUUCAAACACAUCUGACAUUUUUGGCAAGGAAUUGCUAAUGCAAUACGACCUCUAGAUUUGCACCCGUGUCAGACACCUGCACCGAGUAUGAGCAACUUCAGUUCUUACCAUGUUAAUACAGUUUUUGUCAAGUUUAUAUGCUAUAGU
Long non-coding RNA from Capsicum annuum, 1219 nucleotides. RefSeq lists it as uncharacterized. The transcript is spliced from 3 exons. The record is from RefSeq and is a predicted model, not a curated record. Lineage: Eukaryota; Viridiplantae; Streptophyta; Magnoliopsida; Solanales; Solanaceae.